Molecule: ribosomal RNA, 303 nt
Filed under: uncultured bacterium
Lineage: Bacteria
Description: partial 16S ribosomal RNA
Rfam family: Bacterial small subunit ribosomal RNA
Source: RNAcentral
AGCAGCGCCACGGUAAUACGUAGGGUGCGAGCGUUAAUCGGAAUUACUGGGCGUAAAGCGUGCGCAGGCGGUUAUGUAAGACAGAUGUGAAAUCCCCAGGCUCAACCUGGGAACUGCAUUUGUGACUGCAUGGCUAGGGUACGGUAGAGGGGGAUGGAAUUCCGCGUGUAGCAGUGAAAUGCGUAGAUAUGCGGAGGAACACCGAUGGCGAAGGCAAUCCCCUGGACCUGUACUGACGCUCAUGCACGAAAGCGUGGGGAGCAAACAGGAUUAGAGACCCCCGUAGUCCCUGUCUCUUAUACC